UACGGAGGAUCCAAGCGUUAUCCGGAUUCAUUGGGUUUAAAGGGUGCGUAGGCGGAAUGAUAAGUCAGUGGUGAAAUCUCGGAGCUUAACUCCGAAACUGCCAUUGAUACUGUCAAUCUUGAGUACAUUUGAUGUGGGCGGAAUGUGUCAUGUAGCGGUGAAAUGCUUAGAUAUGACACAGAACACCGAUUGCGAAGGCAGCUCACAAAACUGUAACUGACGCUGAGACGCGAAAGCGUGGGUAGCAAACAGG
RNAcentral lists this ribosomal RNA (253 nucleotides) under uncultured bacterium. Its description in RNAcentral is "partial 16S ribosomal RNA". It matches the Rfam family "Bacterial small subunit ribosomal RNA", at positions 524 to 776 of the family's 1533-position model. The record is from RNAcentral.